GGGAAGGUGGCUCAGUGGUAAAGAGUGCUUGCCUUGCAUGCAUGAGGUUCUGGGUUUGAUUCCUCAGCCCCA
Molecule: transfer RNA, 72 nt
Filed under: Dipodomys ordii (Ord's kangaroo rat)
Lineage: Eukaryota; Metazoa; Chordata; Mammalia; Rodentia; Heteromyidae
Rfam family: tRNA
About the family: Transfer RNA (tRNA) molecules are approximately 80 nucleotides in length. Their secondary structure includes four short double-helical elements and three loops (D, anti-codon, and T loops).
Source: Rfam by way of RNAcentral